UGAGGAAUAUUGGUCAAUGGGCGGGGAGCCUGAACCAGCCAAGUCGCGUGAGGGAAGACGGUCCUAUGGAUUGUAAACCUCUUUUGUUCGGGGGAGCAAAGAGGCCACGUGUGGUCAAAAGCGAGAGUACCCGAAGAAAAAGCAUCGGCUAACUCCGUGCC
RNAcentral lists this ribosomal RNA (161 nucleotides) under uncultured bacterium. RNAcentral describes it as "partial 16S ribosomal RNA". It matches the Rfam family "Bacterial small subunit ribosomal RNA", at positions 355 to 509 of the family's 1533-position model. The record is from RNAcentral.